UACGUAGGGACCGAGCGUUGUCCGGAUUUAUUGGGCGUAAAGAGCUCGUAGGCGGCUGUCCACGUCGGGUGUGAAAGCUCGGGGCUCAACCCUGAGAGGUCAUUCGAUACGGGACAGCUUGAGGCAGCUAGGGGAGAUUGGAAUUCCUGGUGUAGCGGUGAAAUGCGCAGAUAUCAGGAGGAACACCGGUGGCGAAGGCGGAUCUCUGGGGCUGUUCUGACGCUGAGGAGCGAAAGCUGGGGGAGCAAACAGGAUUAGAAACCCGCGUAGUCC
RNAcentral lists this ribosomal RNA (273 nucleotides) under uncultured bacterium. RNAcentral's name for it is "partial 16S ribosomal RNA". It matches the Rfam family "Bacterial small subunit ribosomal RNA", at positions 524 to 796 of the family's 1533-position model. The record is from RNAcentral.